UAUAAAAGGACGCGUGUCUCAUGCUGGAGUCAAUUCACGUCGAACCCUUUGUGUUUACGCUUCCCACUUGCUGAACCAGCAUCUCCUGAAGGACAGAAAGAUGGGUUGCCAUGGAGACCACUCCUGUUGCCACGGAAGUUCCCACUGUCAUGGAUCCCACAACCAGAAUGUCUGUGUGGAGAAGAUAUCCGGAUACUACGGAGGUGGAGGGUGCUGCCACGGAUCCAGAUCUUCCCAUCAUGGUUGCUGCCAUGGAUCAAGAUCUUGUUGCCAUCACGGAGGGAUACAAAAAUUCUGUCCUCCAUCUUAUCCCGUGUACUCGCAAUAUAAGCGUCCCUGUGCAUAUCCCUUUGGGUCUUUUAAAUAACUUCCUUUAGAGAGCCAAACAUUGGAUGACUAGAGCUGAUUUUUUUUAAAAUCCUACCCCCAUCAUGCUUAAAAUUCGAUAAACCCAGCUUGAACAAAUUUGAACGCACCACACUUGUUUUCAAUUUGACACUGAGCCUCACUUGUUCCAGUGUUUCUGACAUUUGAAUUUUUUUAAUCGCAUCCCAGGGUCAAGACCCUGAAUGCAAUAUUAAAUUCAAAUGUUUGCAAAUUUGGCACCAUUAUUUGUAAUUUACAUUGGUCAGAUUUUCAAACACUUGCAUUCAAACUUCAAAAAUUGCACCUGGAAAUCUAAUAAAAAUCUUGUGGAUUUUUUUUUAAAUUAAAAAUUCUAGCAUGUAAACUUUAUGCUGUUUUGUCUCAAAGAUGAGGAGGGUCCUUGGCUGAAAUCUUGUGCUGCGAUGAUAAUUCUGCAAAUCAUUAAACUGCCACAAUUCAAACAAAAUUCUUUUGCUUUUUUGUUUCAACAAGUUAGCACAGUUAUCCUCCAGAAUUUUGAAUCUGCAAAGGGGCCUCCCUAUUAGUCUGUUGCAGCAAAAGAAAACAAAAGUCAAGUCUCACUUUCAGAACUAUUAGCAGCAUCUGGAAAUCUGACAUUUUGAAUUUAACGUGUCUAAUUUUGUUUUGGAAUAGGACAAUUCAAUUGAAUUUCAGCUCUAUAAUUUCAUUCUUCAAAUAUGCUUCUCUCUCUCCUGCUUCCUGUAAUUAAAGUCACCAACUUUGACACUUGAAAUCUAUGCAAUCCACUUUUAAGUUGAUAAUCACUUUACCUAAGAGGUGAUGUUCUGAGGUUUAUAUUGUUGGGUGCAAUUAGUAUUCUCAGGGCUCGCGAAUAUCUCUGGACUGUAAAUGUUAAUUUCAUUUUCUGUAUUCCACCUCCAAUUGGAAGAUAAUAAAUGUUUAAAAGCAUCAA
Sphaerodactylus townsendi is the source of this 1300-nucleotide long non-coding RNA. RefSeq lists it as uncharacterized. The record is from RefSeq and is a predicted model, not a curated record. Lineage: Eukaryota; Metazoa; Chordata; Lepidosauria; Squamata; Sphaerodactylidae. The transcript is spliced from 2 exons.